RNAcentral lists this ribosomal RNA (253 nucleotides) under uncultured bacterium. RNAcentral's name for it is "partial 16S ribosomal RNA". It matches the Rfam family "Bacterial small subunit ribosomal RNA", at positions 524 to 776 of the family's 1533-position model. The record is from RNAcentral.
UACGUAGGGGGCAGGCGUUGUCCGGAUUUAUUGGGCGUAAAGAGCGUGUAGGCGGCUUUGCAAGUCCGUUGUGAAAACUCGAGGCUCAACCUCGAGACGCCGGUGGAAACUGCAAAGCUAGAGUCCGGAAGAGGAGAGUGGAAUUCCUGGUGUAGCGGUGAAAUGCGCAGAUAUCAGGAAGAACACCCGUGGCGAAGGCGGCUCUCUGGGACGGUACUGACGCUGAGACGCGAAAGCGUGGGGAGCGAACAGG